UACAGAGGGUGCGAGCGUUAAUCGGAAUUACUGGGCGUAAAGGGUGCGUAGGUGGCUAAUUAAGUCAGAUGUGAAAUCCCAAGGCUUAACCUUGGAAUGGCAUUUGAUACUGGUAAGCUAGAGUACAGAAGAGGGAAGUGGAAUUUCCGGUGUAGCGGUGAAAUGCGUAGAUAUCGGAAGGAACAUCAGUGGCGAAGGCGGCUCACUGGCUCGAUACUGACGCUGAGGUGCGAAAGCGUGGGGAGCAAACAGG
Molecule: ribosomal RNA, 253 nt
Filed under: uncultured bacterium
Lineage: Bacteria
Description: partial 16S ribosomal RNA
Rfam family: Bacterial small subunit ribosomal RNA
Source: RNAcentral